CCCAGGCAUAGUGGCAUGUGCCUGUAGUCCCACCUACUCAGAAGGCUGAGGUGAGGGGAUUACUUGAGUCUUAAGAACUCUGGAUUGUAAUGAGCUAUGCCAAUCAUGUGUCCCCACUAAGUUCAGCAUCAUUAUGGUGACCUCCUGGGAGUUGGAGACUACCAGAUUGCCUAAGGAAGGGUGAUCUGGCCCAGAUCCAACAAGGAUUAAGUCAAAACUCCCAGGCUGACCAGUAGUGAGAUCAUGCCUGUGAACAGCCACUGCACUCCAACCUGGGCCAAUUAUUAAUAGCAAGACCCUGUCUCUU
Molecule: unclassified non-coding RNA, 307 nt
Organism: Macaca fascicularis (crab-eating macaque)
Lineage: Eukaryota; Metazoa; Chordata; Mammalia; Primates; Cercopithecidae
Rfam family: Metazoan signal recognition particle RNA
About the family: The signal recognition particle (SRP) is a universally conserved ribonucleoprotein.
Source: Ensembl